This 119-nucleotide ribosomal RNA is filed under the name Oncorhynchus kisutch (coho salmon). The record is from RNAcentral. Lineage: Eukaryota; Metazoa; Chordata; Actinopteri; Salmoniformes; Salmonidae.
CCUUACGACCACACCGGCCUGAGUACGCCUGAUCUCGUCUGAUCUCGGAAGCUAAGCAGGGUCAGGCCUGGUUAGUACUUGGAUGGGGAGACCCCUGGGAGUACCAGGUGCUGUAAGAU